Molecule: ribosomal RNA, 497 nt
Filed under: uncultured bacterium
Lineage: Bacteria
Description: partial 16S ribosomal RNA
Rfam family: Bacterial small subunit ribosomal RNA
Source: RNAcentral
GAUGAACGCUGGCGGCGUGCCUAAUACAUGCAAGUCGAGCGAACAGACGAGAAGCUUGCUUCUCUGAUGUUAGCGGCGGACGGGUGAGUAACACGUGGAUAACCUACCUAUAAGACUGGGAUAACUUCGGGAAACCGGAGCUAAUACCGGAUAAUAUUUUGAACCGCAUGGUUCAAAAGUGAAAGACGGUCUUGCUGUCACUUAUAGAUGGAUCCGCGCUGCAUUAGCUAGUUGGUAAGGUAACGGCUUACCAAGGCAACGAUGCAUAGCCGACCUGAGAGGGUGAUCGGCCACACUGGAACUGAGACACGGUCCAGACUCCUACGGGAGGCAGCAGUAGGGAAUCUUCCGCAAUGGGCGAAAGCCUGACGGAGCAACGCCGCGUGAGUGAUGAAGGUCUUCGGAUCGUAAAACUCUGCUAUUAGGGAAGAACAUAUGUGUAAGUAACUGUGCACAUCUUGACGGUACCUAAUCAGAAAGCCACGGCUAACUACGUG